UACGGGGGGGGCAAGCGUUGUUCGGAAUUACUGGGCGUAAAGGGCUCGUAGGUGGCCAACUAAGCCAGACGUGAAAUCCCUCAGCUUAACUGGGGAACUGCGUCUGAUACUGGAUGGCUUGAGUUUGGGAGAGGGAUGCGGAAUUCCAGGUGUAGCGGUGAAAUGCGUAGAUAUCUGGAGGAACACCGGUGGCGAAGGCGGCAUCCUGGACCAACACUGACACUGAUGUGCGAAAGCGUGGGGAGCGAACAGG
This 253-nucleotide ribosomal RNA is filed under the name uncultured bacterium. RNAcentral describes it as "partial 16S ribosomal RNA". It matches the Rfam family "Bacterial small subunit ribosomal RNA", at positions 524 to 776 of the family's 1533-position model. The record is from RNAcentral.